UACGUAGGGGGCUAGCGUUGUCCGGAUUUAUUGGGCGUAAAGAGCGUGUAGGCGGCCAGGUAGGUCUGGUGUGAAAACUCGAGGCUUAACCUCGAGAUGUCAUCGGAAACCAUCUGGCUAGAGUCCGGAAGAGGAGAGUGGAAUUCCUGGUGUAGCGGUGAAAUGCGCAGAUAUCAGGAAGAACACCAAUGGCGAAAGCAGCUCUCUGGGACGGUACUGACGCUGAGACGCGAAAGCGUGGGGAGCAAACAGG
RNAcentral lists this ribosomal RNA (253 nucleotides) under uncultured bacterium. RNAcentral's name for it is "partial 16S ribosomal RNA". It matches the Rfam family "Bacterial small subunit ribosomal RNA", at positions 524 to 776 of the family's 1533-position model. The record is from RNAcentral.